RNAcentral lists this ribosomal RNA (189 nucleotides) under Synechococcus sp. KORDI-47. RNAcentral describes it as "partial 23S ribosomal RNA". It matches the Rfam family "Bacterial large subunit ribosomal RNA", at positions 1 to 203 of the family's 2925-position model. The record is from RNAcentral. Lineage: Bacteria; Bacillati; Cyanobacteriota; Cyanophyceae; Synechococcales; Synechococcaceae.
GGUCAAGCUACAAAGGGCUCACGGUGGAUACCUUGGCACACAGAGGCGAUGAAGGACGUGGUUACCUGCGAUAAGUCUCGGGGAGCUGGAAACACGCUUUGAUCCGGGAAUUUCCGAAUGGGGCAACCCCUAGAACGGCCAGCUGAAUCCAUAGGCUGGCGCGAGCCAACCCAGCGAACUGAAACAUCU